RNAcentral lists this ribosomal RNA (506 nucleotides) under uncultured bacterium. RNAcentral's name for it is "partial 16S ribosomal RNA". It matches the Rfam family "Bacterial small subunit ribosomal RNA", at positions 29 to 523 of the family's 1533-position model. The record is from RNAcentral.
AGUGAACGCUGGCGGUAGGCCUAACACAUGCAAGUCGAACGGCAGCACAGGAGAGCUUGCUCUCUGGGUGGCGAGUGGCGGACGGGUGAGGAAUACAUCGGAAUCUACUCUGUCGUGGGGGAUAACGUAGGGAAACUUACGCUAAUACCGCAUACGACCUACGGGUGAAAGCAGGGGAUCUUCGGACCUUGCGCGAUCGAAUGAGCCGAUGUCGGAUUAGCCAGUUGGCGGGGUAAAGGCCCACCAAGGCGACGAUCCGUAGCUGGUCUGAGAGGAUGAUCAGCCACACUGGAACUGAGACACGGUCCAGACUCCUACGGGAGGCAGCAGUGGGGAAUAUUGGACAAUGGGCGCAAGCCUGAUCCAGCCAUACCGCGUGGGUGAAGAAGGCCUUCGGGUUGUAAAGCCCUUUUGUUGGGAAAGAAAUCCAGCUGGCUAAUACCCGGUUGGGAUGACGGUACCCAAAGAAUAAGCACCGGCUAACUUCGUGCCAGCAGCCGCGGUAA